This 223-nucleotide ribosomal RNA is filed under the name uncultured bacterium. RNAcentral describes it as "partial 16S ribosomal RNA". It matches the Rfam family "Bacterial small subunit ribosomal RNA", at positions 127 to 334 of the family's 1533-position model. The record is from RNAcentral.
CGCCCUUCAGAGGGGGACAACAGUUGGAAACGACUGCUAGUACCGCAUACGAUCCAAUCUCGGCAUCGAGACUGGAUGAAAGGUGGCCUCUAUUUAUAAGCUAUCACUGAAGGAGGGGAUUGCGUCUGAUUAGCUAGUUGGAGGGGUAACGGCCCACCAAGGCGAUGAUCAGUAGCCGGUCUGAGAGGAUGAACGGCCACAUUGGGACUGAGACACGGCCCAG